Molecule: non-coding RNA, 28 nt
Filed under: Rattus norvegicus (Norway rat)
Lineage: Eukaryota; Metazoa; Chordata; Mammalia; Rodentia; Muridae
Source: RNAcentral
UGAGAUCCAUCAUUGUGUACAGAAAGAU